GCCAGAAGGACCACUUUCGGUGGUCUCCUCCCAGGGAAGGGGUCACAGAGCCGCGGGACUUGGUUAUGCGCGGCUGCGCCGGCGGCGCGGGCUAAUGACUGCCGGCUGCGGUUGUGGUUUUCAC
Myotis lucifugus (little brown bat) is the source of this 124-nucleotide non-coding RNA. The record is from Rfam. NCBI's taxonomy places the organism in Eukaryota, Metazoa, Chordata, Mammalia, Chiroptera, Vespertilionidae.